UAGCUCAGUUGGUUAGAGCACCACCUUGACAUGGUGGGGGUCGGUGGUUCGAGUCCACU
This 59-nucleotide transfer RNA is filed under the name Vibrio cholerae. Its description in RNAcentral is "tRNA-Val". It matches the Rfam family "tRNA", at positions 8 to 63 of the family's 71-position model. Rfam says of the family: Transfer RNA (tRNA) molecules are approximately 80 nucleotides in length. Their secondary structure includes four short double-helical elements and three loops (D, anti-codon, and T loops). Further hydrogen bonds mediate the characteristic L-shaped molecular structure. tRNAs have two regions of fundamental functional importance: the anti-codon, which is responsible for specific mRNA codon recognition, and the 3' end, to which the tRNAs corresponding amino acid is attached (by aminoacyl-tRNA synthetases). tRNAs cope with the degeneracy of the genetic code in two manners: having more than one tRNA (with a specific anti-codon) for a particular amino acid; and 'wobble' base-pairing, i.e. permitting non-standard base-pairing at the 3rd anti-codon position. The record is from RNAcentral. Lineage: Bacteria; Pseudomonadati; Pseudomonadota; Gammaproteobacteria; Vibrionales; Vibrionaceae.